Gambusia affinis (western mosquitofish) is the source of this 408-nucleotide long non-coding RNA. RefSeq lists it as uncharacterized. The record is from RefSeq and is a predicted model, not a curated record. The transcript is spliced from 3 exons. NCBI's taxonomy places the organism in Eukaryota, Metazoa, Chordata, Actinopteri, Cyprinodontiformes, Poeciliidae.
GUCAGUCGCUCCCGAUCUUCAGGAUUAAUCCAUAAAGAAUCGAUCAAAUCUGCAGUGCAAUGAUCACCCCUAUGCGCCGUGAAAAAGCUAGAGUGCAGGGUCAAAGGGUUAGGAUACCAUUCUGGAAACCUGAAGCCCCUUCUCUACAGCUACACAGGGAAACUCCCUACUUGGAUAAUCAACUGACAGAUAUUGUUUCCUAUUGAAGGCAUCUUCGUUGAAAACAUAUAAAUUACUUGGCUAAGACAGGAGAGAUUGGAGGGAAAGUGAAAAGUCCAGUCUGUGCAGACAACCAAAAUAAACAGAUGAGUUGACUGGAACCAACAGCCAGGAGCAGAAAGGUAAAGAAGCAGGCGGGAGGAGGGGUAACAGGGGUCUGCAGGUAUGGUCCUCCAUCCAAGUCAUCUG